RNAcentral lists this long non-coding RNA (219 nucleotides) under Nicotiana benthamiana. Its description in RNAcentral is "long non-coding RNA (NBEN_LNC016761)". The record is from RNAcentral. Lineage: Eukaryota; Viridiplantae; Streptophyta; Magnoliopsida; Solanales; Solanaceae.
CUUUGCCAAUGAUAACCGUAUUGCACUUGCAGCUCUUAAAUCCAAAUCAUCCCAUUCUUCAUCUCUCUUGCUUGAUGAAUCAUCGCUAGAACCUGCUUCUGGUUUUCCCUUCAGGGCCUUGUGUAGACCUGAUUGAAGUAUUGCACUUGCAGCUCUUAAAUCCAAAUCAUCCCAUUCUUCAUCUCUCUUGCUUGAUGAAUCAUCGCUAGAACCUGCUUC